This 643-nucleotide ribosomal RNA is filed under the name Arkys sp. LB-2014g. Its description in RNAcentral is "SSU rRNA". It matches the Rfam family "Eukaryotic small subunit ribosomal RNA", at positions 1143 to 1804 of the family's 1831-position model. Lineage: Eukaryota; Metazoa; Arthropoda; Arachnida; Araneae; Araneidae. The record is from RNAcentral.
CUUAAAGGAAUUGACGGAAGGGCACCACCAGGCCGUGGAACUUGCGGCUCAAUUUGACUCAACACGGCAAUUUUACCCGGCCCGGACACAGGAAGGAUUGACAGAUUAAGAGCUCUUUCUUGAUUCUGUGAAAAGUGGUGCAUGGCCGUUCUUAGUUGGUGGAGUGAUUUGUCUGGUCAAUUCCGAUAACGAACGAGAUUCUAUCCUACUAAAUAGACGUUCCGAUCCUUCUCAGUCGGACGUUCUUCUUAGAGGGACAGGCGGCGUUCAGCCGCAUGAGACAGAGCAAUAACAGGUCAGUGAUGCCCUUCGAUGUUCGGGGCCGCACGCGUGUUACAUUGAAGGAAUCAGCGUGUGCUUUCCCUGUCCGACAGGAUUGGGUAACCCGUUGAAACUCCUUCGUGCUGGGGAUAGGAAUUUGCAAUUGUCUUCCUUGAACGAGGAACGCCUAGUAAGCACGAGUCAUUAGCUCGUGUUGAUUAUGUCCCUGCCCUUUGUGCACACCGCCCGUCGCUGCUAGCGAUGAAUGGUUUAGUGAGAUCUCCGGACCGGCGCCCGUACUGGACUUCGGUUCGAGACGGCGUGCUGGAAAGAUGACCAAACUUGAUCAUCUAGAGCUCGCAAAAGUCGUAACAAGGUUUCC